RNAcentral lists this ribosomal RNA (332 nucleotides) under Salmonella enterica subsp. enterica serovar Kentucky. RNAcentral's name for it is "partial 23S ribosomal RNA". It matches the Rfam family "Bacterial large subunit ribosomal RNA", at positions 2599 to 2925 of the family's 2925-position model. Lineage: Bacteria; Pseudomonadati; Pseudomonadota; Gammaproteobacteria; Enterobacterales; Enterobacteriaceae. The record is from RNAcentral.
CGCGAGCUGGGUUUAGAACGUCGUGAGACAGUUCGGUCCCUAUCUGCCGUGGGCGUUGGAGAAUUGAAAGGGGCUGCUCCUAGUACGAGAGGACCGGAGUGGACGAACCUCUGGUGUUCGGGUUGUGUCGCCAGACGCAUUGCCCGGUAGCUAAGUUCGGAAUCGAUAACCGCUGAAAGCAUCUAAGCGGGAAGCGAGCCCUGAGAUGAGUCUUCCCUGAUACUUUAAGUAUCCUAAAGGGUUGUCGGAGACUACGACGUUGAUAGGUCAGGUGUGUAAGUGCUGUGAGGCAUUGAGCUAACUGAUACUAAUUGCCCGUGAGGCUUAACCAU